UUUAUGGAGAGUUUGAUCCUGGCUCAGGAUGAACGCUGGCGGCGUGCCUAAUACAUGCAAGUCGAGCGAACAGACG
RNAcentral lists this ribosomal RNA (76 nucleotides) under Staphylococcus epidermidis. Its description in RNAcentral is "partial 16S ribosomal RNA". It matches the Rfam family "Bacterial small subunit ribosomal RNA", at positions 1 to 76 of the family's 1533-position model. Lineage: Bacteria; Bacillati; Bacillota; Bacilli; Caryophanales; Staphylococcaceae. RNAcentral also lists the same sequence under 3 other names. The record is from RNAcentral.